RNAcentral lists this ribosomal RNA (821 nucleotides) under Alcanivorax sp. Its description in RNAcentral is "bacterial SSU rRNA". It matches the Rfam family "Bacterial small subunit ribosomal RNA", at positions 56 to 873 of the family's 1533-position model. The record is from RNAcentral. Lineage: Bacteria; Pseudomonadati; Pseudomonadota; Gammaproteobacteria; Oceanospirillales; Alcanivoracaceae.
GCAGUCGUGCGGAACGAUGGUUCCUUGCUCCCAGGCGUCCAGCGGCGGAAGGGUGAGUAGCACGUGGGAAUCUGCCCGUUAGUGGGGGAUAACUCGGGGAAACUCAAGCUAAUAACGCACAAUCCCUACGGGGGAAAGCACGGGAUCUUCGGACCUUGCUCUAAUGGAUGAUCCCGCAUCUGAUUACCUUGUUGGUGGGGUAAUGGCCCACCAAUGCAACGAUCCGUAACUGGUCUGAGAGGAUGGACAGUCACACCGGGACUGAGACACGGCCCGGACUCCUACGGGAGGCAUGGUGGGGAAUCUUGGACAAUGGGCGCAAGCCUGAUCCACCAUGCCGCGUGUGUGAACAAGGCCUUCGGGUUGUAAGCACUUUCAGUAGGGAGGAAGGCUUUGGGCUAAUACCCUGGAGUACUUGACGUUACCUACAGAGGAAGCACCGGCUAAUUUCUUGCCGCAGCCGCGGUAAUACGAAAGGUGCUUGCGUUAAUCGGAAUUACUGGGCGUAAAGCGCGCGUAAGCGGUGUGUUAACUCCGAUGUGAAAGCCCAGGGCUCAACCUUGGAAUUGCAUCCGAUACUGGCACGCUCGAGUGUAGUAGAGGGAGGUCGAAUUUCCAGUGUAGCGGUGAAAUGUAUAUAUAUCGCAAGGAUGCCAGUGGCGAAGGCGGCCUCCUGUACUGACACUGACUCUUACGUGCGAAAGCGUGUGGAGCAUACAGGAUUAGAUACCCUGUUAGUCGACGCCGUAAACGAUGUCUACUAUCCGUUGGGGUCCUAAGUGACUCUGAUGGCGCAUCUAACGCAUUAACUAGACCGCCGG